CCUACGGGAGGCAGCAGUGGGGAAUUUUGGACAAUGGGGGCAACCCUGAUCCAGCAAUGCCGCGUGAGUGAAGAAGGCCUUCGGGUUGUAAAGCUCUUUUGUCAGGGAAGAAACAGCAGCUCUAACACAGUCUGCGAAUGACGGUACCUGAAGAAUAAGCACCGGCUAACUACGUGCCAGCAGCCGCGGUAAUACGUAGGGUGCAAGCGUUAAUCGGAAUUACUGGGCGUAAAGCGUGCGCAGGCGGUUAUACAAGACAGGCGUGAAAUCCCCGGGCUUAACCUGGGAAUGGCGUCUGUGACUGUAUGACUAGAGUGUGUCAGAGGGGGGUAGAAUUCCACGUGUAGCAGUGAAAUGCGUAGAUAUGUGGAGGAAUACCAAUGGCGAAGGCAGCCCCCUGGGAUAACACUGACGCUCAUGCACGAAAGCGUGGGGAGCAAACAGGAUUAGAUACCCUGGUAGUCCACGCCCUAAACGAUGCCGACUAGUUGUUGGGAAUUUACAUUCUCAGUAACGUAGCUAACGCGUGAAGUCGGCCGCCUGGGGAGUACGGUCGCAAGAUUAAAACUCAAAGGAAUUGACGG
This 584-nucleotide ribosomal RNA is filed under the name uncultured bacterium. RNAcentral's name for it is "bacterial SSU rRNA". It matches the Rfam family "Bacterial small subunit ribosomal RNA", at positions 338 to 916 of the family's 1533-position model. The record is from RNAcentral.